RNAcentral lists this non-coding RNA (352 nucleotides) under Schistosoma margrebowiei. RNAcentral describes it as "Eukaryotic large subunit ribosomal RNA". It matches the Rfam family "Eukaryotic large subunit ribosomal RNA", at positions 1541 to 1843 of the family's 3401-position model. Lineage: Eukaryota; Metazoa; Platyhelminthes; Trematoda; Strigeidida; Schistosomatidae. The record is from Rfam by way of RNAcentral.
AAACCCGAGCGAGGCAGUAUAAUUUUCUUGGCAGGCCGUACCCAUAUCCGCAAGCCCCCUGUAGCGAAAGGGAAUCGGGUUAAUAUUCCAGACCAUGUCCACGAAGACUGGUGUGUGUCGGGUCCCUGGUUCUGCGUGCGCCCAGCGCGGUAACGCAACCGACCUUAGAGACGUCGGCGGGAGUUCUGGGAAGAGAUAUCUUUUCUUUGUUAGGAGCGCAUCCACCCCCUGGAAUCGGCUUGUCCGGAUAUAGGGGGCUAGCCUCCGUAAAACACCACCAAUCUUGUGGUGUCCGGAACGCUUCUAUCUGCCCUUGAAAAUAGAACGAGGGAUAUAUGUGUAGCAAUGUAUU